This 165-nucleotide ribosomal RNA is filed under the name uncultured bacterium. RNAcentral describes it as "partial 16S rRNA". It matches the Rfam family "Bacterial small subunit ribosomal RNA", at positions 354 to 511 of the family's 1533-position model. The record is from RNAcentral.
GUAGGGAAUCUUCCACAAUGGGCGAAAGCCUGAUGGAGCAACGCCGCGUGUGUGAUGAAGGGUUUCGGCUCGUAAAACACUGUUGUAAGAGAAGAAUGACAUUGAGAGUAACUGUUCAAUGUGUGACGGUAUCUUACCAGAAAGGAACGGCUAAAUACGUGCCGG